Molecule: ribosomal RNA, 749 nt
Filed under: uncultured bacterium
Lineage: Bacteria
Description: bacterial SSU rRNA
Rfam family: Bacterial small subunit ribosomal RNA
Source: RNAcentral
GGGUGAGUAAAGUGGCGAACGGGUGAGUAACACGUGGAUAAUCUGCCCCUGAAUCUGGGAUAAUCCCCCGAAAGGAGGUCUAAUACCGGAUAACACCUCUGGGUGACAUCAUCUGGCGGUCAAAGGCGGGGCAACCUGCCGUUUGGGGAUGAGUCCGCGCUCCAUUAGCUUGUUGGUGAGGUAACGGCCCACCAAGGCUUCGAUGGAUAGCCGACCUGAGAGGGUGACCGGCCACACUGGGACUGAGAUACGGCCCAGACUCCUACGGGAGGCAGCAGUCGGGAAUAUUGCGCAAUGGACGAAAGUCUGACGCAGCAACGCCGCGUGGGUGAUGAAGCUCCUUGGAGUGUAAAACCCUGUCAGUGGGGAAGAACCGUACGGGGAGUAACUGCCCUGUACCUGACGGUACCCACAGAGGAAGUCCCGGCUAACUCCGUGCCAGCAGCCGCGGUAAUACGGGGGGGACAAGCGUUGUUCGGAUUUACUGGGCGUAAAGGGCGCGUAGGCGGGCCAUCAAGUCGGAUGUGAAAACCAGCAGCUCAACUGCUGGCCUGCAUUCGAUACUGUUGGUCUUGAGUACAGGAGAGGAGAGCGGAAUUCCAGGUGUAGCGGUGAAAUGCGUAGAUAUCUGGAGGAACACCGGUAGCGAAGGCGGCUCUCUGGCCUGAUACUGACGCUCAAGCGCGAAGGCUUGGGGAGCAAACAGGAUUAGAUACCCUGGUAGUCCAAGCGGUAAACGAUGGGUACUA